This 554-nucleotide ribosomal RNA is filed under the name uncultured bacterium. RNAcentral's name for it is "bacterial SSU rRNA". It matches the Rfam family "Bacterial small subunit ribosomal RNA", at positions 102 to 674 of the family's 1533-position model. The record is from RNAcentral.
ACGGGUGAGUAACACGUAGGUAACCUACCCUUCAGUGGGGGACAACAGAGGGAAACUUCUGCUAAUACCGCAUACGAUCACGGACUGGGAUGUUCGUGGUGAAAGGAUUUAUUCGCUGAGGGAUGGGCCCGCGGCCUAUCAGGUAGUUGGUGGGGUAAUGGCCUACCAAGCCUGCGACGGGUAGCCGGACUGAGAGGUCGAUCGGCCACACUGGAACUGAGACACGGUCCAGACUCCUACGGGAGGCAGCAGUGGGGAAUAUUGCACAAUGGGGGAAACCCUGAUGCAGCGACGCCGCGUGGAGGAUGACGGCCUUCGGGUUGUAAACUCCUUUUGCCGGGGACAAUGGUGAUGGUACCCGACGAAUAAGCCACGGCUAACUCUGUGCCAGCAGCCGCGGUAAGACAGAGGUGGCGAGCGUUGUUCGGAAUUACUGGGCUUAAAGGGCGCGUAGGCGGUGGUGUAAGUCUAGGGUGGAAUGCUACAGCUCAACUGUAGAGCUGCCUUGGAAACUGCAUUACUUGAGUCGGUGAGGGGAAGGUGGAAUUCCAGGU